RNAcentral lists this long non-coding RNA (2063 nucleotides) under Pan paniscus (pygmy chimpanzee). RNAcentral describes it as "lncRNA (ENSPPAG00000044657.1)". The record is from RNAcentral. Lineage: Eukaryota; Metazoa; Chordata; Mammalia; Primates; Hominidae.
CUUACAACCAGGCAGCCAGGUGGCGUAUGUCCUUGUUUCCAGAGAGGCAGGACAAAGAGAAGAAGGUCAUUAAAGCUAUGAUAUUUGGUGUCUCCGAGAGGAAAGGAAGGGUGGUUUCCUGGACUGUAAGGAUUCAGGGAAGCUGGUGCUGAAGCUCUUGAGACCUUUGAACCACUUAAGGGCAGCACUCUGGCUCAGAGAAGAAUGCAGAUGAGGACAUAGAAAGAUGAACUUAAAGCUGAAAACUGAACUUAAAGCUGGAAAAAAUGAAGCAAUCUCAGCUAUGAUAGCUGUAAUAGAAAAAUGGAGUUUUCCUCAGUUUUUCUUCCUCAGAAUAAAUGGGAUGAUCCUGAUGGCUGUUUAAGUGGAGAGGAUUUGUUUGUGCAGGCUCAUGACAGGAGACUGAAGCAGGAGAGAGGGGCAUACAGCAGAAAACAUGGAAACUUCCACCUGCUGUUUCCAUUGCAUUUUUGCAAGUCUUCCUGUGUGUCAGGAAGAGCUGUCACAUCAAGGUUUUGUCAUGUGCUAGGCACUGCACAAAGCACUUGAAUGACAUCCUUGAAACUUUUCCCAUACGGAUCAUACUGGAGGAUGUCCAGAGAAAUACAGAAAAGUGGUUUGGAGGGGAGUAGCUGAUGGUAAGUUAAAUAAAUAAUAAUAAAAUUAGCCAGGCGUGGUGGUGCAUGCCUGUGGUCUCAGCCACUUUGGAGGCUGAGGUGGGAAGAUUGCUUGGACCUGAGAGGUCAAGGCUUCAGUGAGCUGUGAUCCUGCCACUGCACUCCACCCUCAGCAACAGAGUGAGACUCUGUCUGAAAAAUAAAUAACUACACAAAUAAUAUUGAUCAAUAACAGAUACAAGACCACUAUGACAUUGGAAAAGAUAGCAGAAUUAGGAUACAAAUGUAUGACAGGCUGGAACCAUGAACCAUCACCAAUAAGAAUAUAUCUUAGAUCACUGAAUGAAUGUAUGGAUAUUUUCUUAGUUUCAAAAAUACAACUGCAUAUGUCUAUUAGGGGAGCAUAGCUUAGCAGCCAGUAGCACAGAUAGAAAGAUCUAGGAGAUUUCCUGAGUGCAAGUUAUUACAUGGUGUGUGUAGCUGCCAAAAUAUUGACUGUGAUCUUUGGUUGCAUUGACAAAGCCCGAGGUGCUCUAUCUAUUCUGCGGAGUAUUUUCUUUCAGAUGCAGCAUUUAACGAGAAAAGUACGUGAAAGAGUUUGUUCAGAGGACAGCUAUCUGGCUUUUGAUGGGACUUCAAACCACGUCAGAUGUGGAGCUAAUAAAGAAAGGUAGGCUGCUUAGCUUGAAGAAGGGACUGAGCGAAUGAGAGGGAGAGAGAAACAGAAACAGAGAGAGAGAGAGAGAGAGUGUGUGUGUGUGUGUGUGUGUUGGGUGGGUGGGAAGAGAUAGGAAGGGCUUGAGCAUUGCCCUCCGAAUUCUGAAGAGUUUAAGAGAAAAUCAGCAUCCUCUUUAUACCAGUGGAGGCCAAGGCAAAGCCCAGGAGGUGGUAUUUACAGGUAGAUCGAGUUCAGUUCAGAUUAGGGAAGUAUUUUCAAACAUUUGGAACAACUGCCAGAGUAAUGAGUUGUUCCAGUAGAGCUUUCAAAGUGUUUUCUUUUGAAAAUUCCUUAAUUUUAAAAAUUUAAACCUGUACCUUUAAAUCAUAAUAUUUGAGCAAUGGUCAGUAGAUGGCGGUAGGAUACCAUGGAUUUUACCAGUGGCAGCUGGAAUUUCACCCUUCAAUAUGCUGGAAGUAGAUGAUUUUUUUCUAAUUAUUAUUGGAAGGUGUAUCCUAAUCUAUUGUUCAGAGAGAAAUUGCUGAUUUGAAAAACAGGAAAUAAUACUUCCUAAUUAAAUAGACGAUAAUGAGUAACAAAUACUUUUAUGUUGCCUGAAUGCUACCAUGCUGUUUCUUUAUUGGCCUCUAGAAAUUUGUGGUAGGAAGUGUGUGUGUGUGUGUGUGUGUGUGUGUGUGUGUGUGUAAAUGAAAGGUCUGGUUUGUUUUAAAUAAUUCCAAAAUGUAAUAUACUAAUUUUGUGUAAAAUUUUAAAAAUACAUGACUGAA